RNAcentral lists this ribosomal RNA (746 nucleotides) under Natrinema versiforme. RNAcentral describes it as "bacterial SSU rRNA". It matches the Rfam family "Archaeal small subunit ribosomal RNA", at positions 79 to 824 of the family's 1478-position model. Lineage: Archaea; Methanobacteriati; Methanobacteriota; Halobacteria; Halobacteriales; Natrialbaceae. The record is from RNAcentral.
UAGCAGAUAGCUCAGUAACACGUGGCCAAACUACCCUAUGGAUCCGGAUAACCUCGGGAAACUGAGGCUAAUCCGGAAUAGAGUUCCCUGCCUGGAGUGGCGUGAACUCGAAACGUUCAGGCGCCAUAGGAUGUGGCUGCGGCCGAUUAGGUAGACGGUGGGGUAACGGCCCACCGUGCCUAUAAUCGGUACGGGUUGUGAGAGCAAGAGCCCGGAGACGGUAUCUGAGACAAGAUACCGGGCCCUACGGGGCGCAGCAGGCGCGAAACCUUUACACUGCACGCGAGUGCGAUAAGGGGACUCCAAGUGCGAGGGCAUAUAGUCCUCGCUUUUCACGACCGUAAGGAGGUUGUAGAAUAAGUGCUGGGCAAGACCGGUGCCAGCCGCCGCGGUAAUACCGGCAGCACGAGUGAUGACCGCUAUUAUUGGGCCUAAAGCGUCCGUAGCUGGCCACGCAAGUUCAUCGGGAAAUCUGCGCGCUUAACGCGCAGGCGUCCGGUGGAAACUGUUUGGCUUGGGACCGGAAGACCAGAGGGGUACGUCCGGGGUAGGAGUGAAAUCCCGUAAUCCUGGACGGACCACCGGUGGCGAAAGCGCCUCUGGAAGACGGAUCCGACGGUGAGGGACGAAAGCUCGGGUCACGAACCGGAUUAGAUACCCGGGUAGUCCGAGCUGUAAACGAUGUCUGAUAGGUGUGGCACAGGCUACGAGCCUGUGCUGUGCCGUAGGGAAGCCGUGAAGCAGAC